UACAGGGGGGGCAAGCGUUGUUCGGAAUUACUGGGCGUAAAGGGCUCGUAGGCGGCCAACUAAGUCGGACGUGAAAUCCCCAGGCUCAACCUGGGAACUGCGUCCGAUACUGGAUGGCUUGAAUCCGGGAGAGGGAUGCAGAAUUCCAGGUGUAGCGGUGAAAUGCGUAGAUAUCUGGAGGAAUACCGGUGGCGAAGGCGGCAUCCUGGACCGGCAUUGACGCUGAGGAGCGAAAGCCAGGGGAGCAAACGGG
Molecule: ribosomal RNA, 253 nt
Filed under: uncultured bacterium
Lineage: Bacteria
Description: partial 16S ribosomal RNA
Rfam family: Bacterial small subunit ribosomal RNA
Source: RNAcentral